UCUUGCUUCUUAAACAGCAAAUUUUUAUCCUCCCAAAAAUAUUUUCUAUCUUAAAAAAAUAUGUGUUUUUAAUUUCGAGACUUAAAAUUUCGAUAGGUCAGAAAUUCAACAUAAAAAAAUUCGGAGUGAAAAACUUCGCCCAAACAGUGUCACCAGAGCAAGUGGUCGAUCCAGGAACACAUCGAUAUCUAGCCAAUCAAAUCCUGACACUGACGUGACGUCAGCGUUUGUUUUGGUCUCUUGAGCUGUGUCUGAAUUCCUUCCGAUGCCGCCGCCUUCGCGGUCGCCGACGGCCGGGUCCUUCAUAGAGCAGGAAGAUCUAUGUUAAGGGCUUUAAAUUUGUACGGUCUAGCCUUGUUUUAUUAUUUUUUUUAAUCAUUUAAUUGAACAAAAUACAAGUUGGUGUAGCUUUGCUGGCUAAUUUCCUGUAGCUUAGCCACCGUGCGUUGAACGUGUGAAGCGCAAAGCUGCAAAUGUUUCUGAGUUAUUUGAUUCAACUUUUACUUUUGGAGGAGUUGGAGCAGAUCAUUCGAUCCAUGGCUGUCGCAGGAACUUGCUAUUAUCCCGGCUGAGACAAAACGAUAUGCAGACUACACUCUGUAAUGCAGAAUCAACCUGAGUCUCCUGGAGCGGUUUAUUAACAGAACAGGAACAGGAACAGGAACUCUCCUGCAGUCCUCCUGAACCUCCAUUGGUGACGUCUGUGGGGUGAUGUAACUGAGAUCCUGGUGUUUCUCUUCUGGUUGGCGAGCGGAGUAUCCUACAGGAUGAUCUCAAGAGUGUUUGGAUCUCUCGUUCCACUGUCCACUGCAUCAUCCACAGUCACUGAGGAGGUGGUGGCCAUUCGCCUUAAGAACCUUCACCUUCCAAAAACCCCUGAGGACCUGGAGGUGGAGUCCUGUGGGUUUGCAGGGCUGGAACAGCACAGAGUUUUUCCUCAAAGCUGCAGGUGCCAUCGAUGGAUGCCACAUCAGGAUCAAACCUCCUGGUGACCCUGGCAUCAUUCCAAAAGCGCCCUCGAUUAUAGAGCGUGCUUUGGAAUGAUGAAGACAAGAUUCAGAGGCAUCUUCCUUCAAGUGCUGGAGGUUGUCUCAGCUUGGGCCAUCCUCCACAAUAUCUGCUCCUGUGCUGACGACACCGAGGCCCCAGAGGACGAUGUGGAGGUGAUGAUGAGGAGGAAGCUGGUGUGAAGGUCACCAGCGGUGCUCUCUGGCAGGACCAACUACCUGCUGAGGUUUCUGCCCUGCGGGAGGUACCACCUGACCUUGAUUACUUUUAACAGCAUCCGUCCACAGCCAACCCUGUAAACCCUGAAGAUGGACGAUGCAGUCUACGGUGAAGAUGAUCCUGAAACUCUGCAGACCAUCCUGCAAGAUGUCCCAAUCACCACCCAGAAAGUUCCAUCCCCGUGUCUCAGUUGAAGCAUCUCAUCCAUGUCGACCAUCUUUGUAAAUAGUGUUACAAUGAAUGACGAUUACUGUGUUGGAUUUAUACCUUUAUUUAUAUUAAAAAAACAAACAUUUUAAUGAAUCAAAUAUAAACUUCAUUUAUUGUCAGAAAUCAAAUGUGGUUAUUUGUUGGCAUUUCUUUCCAGGAGACUAUAAAGUUGGUCAAAAGUCUCCCUCCUCUCUCGUGCGCUCUGCUCUUCUGCCUCAUGUCCUCUCUGAUCAGGUCUAGAAGCUCAUCACUAGUCGCGUUUCCAUUAACUCUGAAAUUUCGCAAAUUGGAAUUUUGAUACAUUCUCCUAAUGGAAACCACAAUUCCGAAAAAAAAAACAAAAAAAAACGUUUUUGCCCUUAGAGGGGGUGGUAUU
Molecule: long non-coding RNA, 1813 nt
Organism: Oryzias melastigma (Indian medaka)
Lineage: Eukaryota; Metazoa; Chordata; Actinopteri; Beloniformes; Adrianichthyidae
Exons: 4
Source: RefSeq, a predicted model, not a curated record